UACGGAGGAUCCGAGCGUUAUCCGGAUUUAUUGGGUUUAAAGGGUGCGUAGGCGGCCUGUUAAGUCAGGGGUGAAAGACGGUAGCUCAACUAUCGCAGUGCCCUUGAUACUGAUGGGCUUGAAUGUGCUAGAGGUAGGCGGAAUGUGACAAGUAGCGGUGAAAUGCAUAGAUAUGUCACAGAACACCAAUUGCGAAGGCAGCUUACUAUGGUAUUAUUGACGCUGAGGCACGAAAGCGUGGGGAUCAAACAGG
This 253-nucleotide ribosomal RNA is filed under the name uncultured bacterium. RNAcentral describes it as "partial 16S ribosomal RNA". It matches the Rfam family "Bacterial small subunit ribosomal RNA", at positions 524 to 776 of the family's 1533-position model. The record is from RNAcentral.